RNAcentral lists this transfer RNA (72 nucleotides) under Taibaiella lutea. It matches the Rfam family "tRNA". From Rfam's summary of the family: Transfer RNA (tRNA) molecules are approximately 80 nucleotides in length. Their secondary structure includes four short double-helical elements and three loops (D, anti-codon, and T loops). The record is from Rfam by way of RNAcentral. Lineage: Bacteria; Pseudomonadati; Bacteroidota; Chitinophagia; Chitinophagales; Chitinophagaceae.
GGCCGCGUAGUUUAAUGGAUAAAACGAAGGUUUCCGGUACCUUUGAUGUGAGUUCGAUUCUCGCCGUGGCUA